AGGGGGCUUCAGCUUUGCUGUGUCAGUCGUGGUAAAUACAGGAACAUCCUUCAUGAAGAUGUGCGAGAGAAGCUUGCAAGAUCAGAAAAACUACUGAAGAUACCUCUCUUCAUUUUCAUGGAUUCUGGGAUAUUUAUCUAUUUUUUGAGCGCAGUGUCAGUGAAGAUGGUGUGGUCAGGGAUUCUGCUGUUUGUGGGAGAUCUGAAGGAACAUCUCCCAGCUUUCUACGACGAUGAGCGCUGAUGACUGAGUAUUUUUUUUCAGUGAGGAAACAGGCUUAUAGAUCAUACAGAAUGAUGUUUUCUGUGAUGGCGAGAUCAGGUACUUUUGUAAGUAUGUAAGUGAUUUUGCAUUGUUCUCCAGACGCUAAUAAGCGAGUUAAAGUGUUGUAACUGUGUAUAGUGUUGGGUUUUUCUUGUGCAUCAGCAAAAAGUGUUUUUGUGUAUUUGUUUUAGAGAUUUUGUCCAUAAAUGUAGAGGG
Long non-coding RNA from Sinocyclocheilus anshuiensis, 480 nucleotides. RefSeq lists it as uncharacterized. The transcript is spliced from 3 exons. Lineage: Eukaryota; Metazoa; Chordata; Actinopteri; Cypriniformes; Cyprinidae. The record is from RefSeq and is a predicted model, not a curated record.